Molecule: long non-coding RNA, 3462 nt
Filed under: Homo sapiens (human)
Lineage: Eukaryota; Metazoa; Chordata; Mammalia; Primates; Hominidae
Description: HSALNT0247633
Source: RNAcentral
UCCGUCUCAAAAAAAAUAAAUAAAAAUAAAAUAAAAAAUACAGCAGCCUGGCUAAAAGCCAAGAUAAUUCCACUUAAAUGUCCUGAUCCGAAGAAUAUCCUCCUAAGGUUUUGCUGGACUUAUUUUUCUAUUGAAUUGGGCUUUGGUCAUUCUAGUUCAGAAACUGUCACAGUCUUGUACAACAAUGAUGACAGCACUUACUUGGAAUGCUCCAGAAUAUAGCAACGUAAAAUUUGUGGGCCGAGCCUCUUAUCAGAUACAUUGGAAUAGAUGAAUGCUAUACCUAAUCCUGAGAGUUAGUUCUGUGCAGUGCUCCCUAACAAAGCAGCAGGUCAAGGACGUACUUUUAUCUACCCUCUUUAAAAAGUACCCCACGAGGCACAGAGGCUCAAACUUGUAAUCCUAGCACUUUGGGAGGGCAAGGAGGGAGGAUCACUUGAAGCCAGGAGUUCAAGACAAGCCUGGACAACAUAGCCAGACCCUGUCUCUAUAAAAAAAUUUAAAAAUUAGCCCAGCUUGGUGGUGUGUUCCUGUGGUCCCAGCUACUUAUCAGGAUGAGGCAGGAAGAUCACUUGAGCCCACGGGUUCAAGGUUGUAGUGAGCUAUGAUCAUGCCACUGCACUCCAGCCUGGGCCACGGAGCAAGACCAUCCCUUCAAAAAAAAACCACAAAAAACGGAAAAAAUACCCCUGAAAAUAACAAAAAGAGAAGUUUUGAUUUAUAAAGGGCACACGCUAACCACCACUGCAAAGGCAUGACUACUGCCUCUGCCACAGGGGGUCCCUGAAGCUCUGGGCCCAAUUUUGCACAUGUGGGCAGGCUCCACGACCUGUAGAAAAGUCCAUUAGGAUCCCUGCGUUUCCUUCCCGAAUUGAACUAUUGUCAUUUAAGCUUCUGAGUGGCCAAAUGAGUACCUCACAUGCAUACACGCAAUCAUCUGGUUUGCUAGCCUCCUUCACAACCCUCUUCUCUCCCCUGCUGUCGGAGGAACAGUGGGGAGGUGGCCUCAGGCAGAGUAAACGGAUGCAAGUGACACCUUCUCCACAGUAAAUGGCAACUGAACAGUCCCCACAACUGAAACACUGGCAGUGGGAUUUAUGUGACCAUUCGUACACAGGCUAGUGGAGAGACGGGCAUGACGGCCCUCUCACCUGAAAAGAAAACAGAGGGCCCCUAGAAAAGCUCACCACAAGGAACAUUUUGAGCUACGAAAACAACUCAGAAGCAGUGUGCUCGGAGGAAAGCAGCCUCGCUGGAAAUAGGGCUGCAUCCCGGUGCAGUAAAAUGGGCAGAGGCUCUGGGGAAACGCAGGUGCCACCUCUUACUCACUCUAUGACCUUGGCCAAGUCAUUUCUGUUUUAGGUUCUCAGCAUCUCCGUCUGUGAAAUACUAGUUAUGAUCAUGAUACCACCACCACCACCCUAUGUUGUUGGGAAGAUCCAGUGAAAUAGCAAAUACACUGUAUCAGACUCCAGGCUCAGACACAUUUCAUUCAUUGGGAAAAAAUAAAGGAAAUAACCAGUUGCACCAAGAAUGAACUUCAAAAUGAUGGAUAGCCUACCUUAAGAUCAAAGAUGCAAUGAGAAACUUCUUUAAAGAAAUACAGUUUUCCCUUGCACAGCAGUCAUUUGGAUAAACAUCAUUCAAUCAGAAAGUAAGUCAGGGGUUAUGCUAAGAGCCAGGGAUACAAAAACAACAAGAUUAUCUUGGUCACCCUCAGGGAGCUUACAUUUGUUGAAGAUUUACAAAAGAGCUGCUUUCAUGAUGGAGUCACCCACAACAUAGUUGCCUUUGAACUUCACUCCGUUGUCUAUUACCUAAGAGUAAGUGACAAAAACAAACAUACUAUCUGAAAUAUCUUGCUUUAAGUCCCAAUCUUUCUUUUAUCACCUCUCUUUCUCUGCCUCACUGUUACUUCUUGCACAAAGUAAAAUAACCACAAGGCUCAGUUGGUUGGAGCAGCUCCAUAAGAAAUUUAGGCUUGAGAUCACCCAGCAGUUAAUGUGCUCUGAUUUCCGUGUGAACUGCAGACUUCACCACCAUGCACCUUAAAGCCCAAUCCUCAAUCUCACUAGCCAAAAACUGGGCCCGUAUUGGUUAGCUCAUCAUUUGCUGAGAAAACAGCUCAAAUCACAUAACCCACUGAAGAAGCAGGGCCACACCCCUGGGUUUGGUUGGCUGCUCAUUAAGACUUAACAGAUACACAGAUUGAUGCCACUGGAGUUGUUUACUAACCUGAAGAUCACAAUAAAUAAAACAGUUGGUGUCAAUACAACUCCCCUUAUUUUCUCUCAAGUCACCUGGAUCGUCCUGACCCCGGGAACCCCGUCUGCAGCACCAGGCCCCCUCCGUGGAGAAAAGAUGGAGCCGGAUUAAGCACCCAGUGCUAAGGCGACUAAGACGCCACUGCCCGCAGGCCCUGCCGGAAAAUACUCAGAGAGUGCAGCAGGCGCCGCGAUUCCUUAGAAAGUGCUGGCGUGGCCUCUCCUGACACAGAAAGCCGGCUCCUGGAUGCUUACAAAGGACUGGCCCGCGCAACACCGUUGCUCCUCAACCCGGGCCACACUCCAAGGACCUCUACUGAGCUUCAGCUUGCUCACCGAAAACGGCGCGGCCCCCUCUACCCGGGAUGUCGGAGCCCAGGAGACCCUGAGAGCCCCCAGCUCUUUCCGUAAUUGCAGGAGAAGGGGCAAGCGGGUCCGUAGCCGGGGGCCCUCCAGUGGCAUUAUCCUGAACCGCCACGCCCGCACGUGGCCCGGCUAGAGCUCCCUGGCGAAGGAUCACCUGUUCCUACAGUGACAACUGGACCUGGCCCGAACCCCUGGCAUCUGGCAACAUUAUUACCUGUCGAAACAGAAGUAGAGAUUUGAAAUAGAGGAUGCCUGUUCCCAUUUCCUCCUGCUGUCUGGAAGGAAGUCUGGCUUUCCAGCCCAACUCUAAGCUCAUCUUUACAUACAAAAUAAGGGUAUGUUUACAUGGAAAGCAAAAAUAGAACCAUGGAUUUACAGAAGGUUCCAUAGCAGCAAAUAACAGUGCUUAUGAAAUAAACAUUUUAAAUAUUAUUCCUGUGUAAAAUUAUUGUCAGGCAUACUUUACCAAUGAAGAGAUAGAACAAUGUGGGUUCUAUGCCUGGACACAAUGAUUUGUUUAGUGACCUUGCACAAAAUAGGCUCAGUCUUCCUGGGCCUUAGAGGCCUUGUCUAUAAAAUUAAGGAGUGGAAUUUAAAUAAGCUUUAAUAUUAUUCCCAGCUUUAUGAAUCUGAGUAAGGUUGACUUAAAAGUGUUAUUUUUAUUACUUUUUACAUUACUUUUUUUUUGAAAUGGAGUUUCGCUCUUGUCGCCCGGGCUGGAGUGCAGUGUCAUGAUAUUGGCCCAUUGCAUCCUCCGCCCCCUAGGUUCAAGUGAUUCUCCUGCCUCAGCCUCCUGAGUAGCUGGGAUUACAGGUGCGCGCCACCAUGCCUG